UACGGAGGGUGCAAACGUUGCUCGGAAUCAUUGGGCGUAAAGCGCACGUAGGCGGUUCGUUAUGUCGGAUGUGAAAGCCUCGGGCUUAACCCGAGAAGUGCAUCCGAAACUGGCGGGCUUGAGUACGGAAGAGGGUCUCGGAAUUCCCGGUGUAGAGGUGAAAUUCGUAGAGAUCGGGGGGAACACCAGUGGCGAAGGCGGAGACCUGGGCCGAUACUGACGAUGAGGUGCGAAAGAGUGGGGAGCAAACAGG
Molecule: ribosomal RNA, 253 nt
Filed under: uncultured bacterium
Lineage: Bacteria
Description: partial 16S ribosomal RNA
Rfam family: Bacterial small subunit ribosomal RNA
Source: RNAcentral